CAUCCCAAAACCCUUGAUGUUUUAGGGUUUUGCACCUGUUUAAUAAGGAGUUCCAACCAUACAUCCGAACAGAUCGAGAAAACCUGAAAGAGGGAGAGAAAGAGAAACGAGUCACUACCACGGAUUUUUGUCAUCCAAGCACAUGAAGCUUGACAACUUAUAUC
Long non-coding RNA from Hyposmocoma kahamanoa, 164 nucleotides. RefSeq lists it as uncharacterized. The record is from RefSeq and is a predicted model, not a curated record. The transcript is spliced from 3 exons. Lineage: Eukaryota; Metazoa; Arthropoda; Insecta; Lepidoptera; Cosmopterigidae.